This 466-nucleotide ribosomal RNA is filed under the name uncultured bacterium. Its description in RNAcentral is "partial 16S ribosomal RNA". It matches the Rfam family "Bacterial small subunit ribosomal RNA", at positions 28 to 507 of the family's 1533-position model. The record is from RNAcentral.
GAUGAACGCUGGCGGCGUGCUUAACACAUGCAAGUCGAACGAUGAAGCCCAGCUUGCUGGGUGGAUUAGUGGCGAACGGGUGAGUAACACGUGAGUAACCUGCCCUUAACUCUGGGAUAAGCCGGGGAAACUGGGUCUAAUACCGGAUAGGAGCGUCCACCGCAUGGUGGGUGUUGGAAAGAUUUAUCGGUUUUGGAUGGACUCGCGGCCUAUCAGCUUGUUGGUGAGGUAAUGGCUCACCAAGGCGACGACGGGUAGCCGGCCUGAGAGGGUGACCGGCCACACUGGGACUGAGACACGGCCCAGACUCCUACGGGAGGUAGCAGUGGUGAAUAUUGCACACUGGGCGCAAGCCUGAUGCAGCGACUCCGCGUGAGGGAUGACGGCCUUCGGGUUGUAAACCUCUUUCCGUAGGGAAGAAGCGAAAGUGACGGUACCUUCAGAAGAAGCACCGGCUAACUACGUG